Molecule: ribosomal RNA, 484 nt
Filed under: uncultured bacterium
Lineage: Bacteria
Description: partial 16S ribosomal RNA
Rfam family: Bacterial small subunit ribosomal RNA
Source: RNAcentral
AUUGAACGCUGGCGGCAGGCCUAACACAUGCAAGUCGAGCGGAUGAAGGGAGCUUGCUCCUGGAUUCAGCGGCGGACGGGUGAGUAAUGCCUAGGAAUCUGCCUGGUAGUGGGGGAUAACGUCCGGAAACGGGCGCUAAUACCGCAUACGUCCUGAUGUAGAAAGUGGGGGAUCUUCGGACCUCACGCUAUCAGAUGAGCCUAGGUCGGAUUAGCUAGUUGGUGGGGUAAAGGCCUACCAAGGCGACGAUCCGUAACUGGUCUGAGAGGAUGAUCAGUCACACUGGAACUGAGACACGGUCCAGACUCCUACGGGAGGCAGCAGUGGGGAAUAUUGGACAAUGGGCGAAAGCCUGAUCCAGCCAUGCCGCGUGUGUGAAGAAGGUCUUCGGAUUGUAAAGCACUUUAAGUUGGGAGGAAGGGCAGUAAGUUAAUACCUGGCUGUUUUGACGUUACCAACAGAAUAAGCACCGGCUAACUUCGUG